UGUCUUCAAGCAAUUUGCGUCUAGUUUCGACCUAGAAGAAGGUGUUAACAAUACCGUUGAUUU
RNAcentral lists this transfer RNA (63 nucleotides) under Fabaeformiscandona kushiroensis. Its description in RNAcentral is "tRNA-Arg". The record is from RNAcentral. Lineage: Eukaryota; Metazoa; Arthropoda; Ostracoda; Podocopida; Candonidae.